RNAcentral lists this ribosomal RNA (243 nucleotides) under uncultured Pasteurellales bacterium. RNAcentral's name for it is "partial 16S ribosomal RNA". It matches the Rfam family "Bacterial small subunit ribosomal RNA", at positions 88 to 334 of the family's 1533-position model. Lineage: Bacteria; Pseudomonadati; Pseudomonadota; Gammaproteobacteria; Pasteurellales. The record is from RNAcentral.
CUGACGGGUGGCGGACGGGUGAGUAAUGCUUGGGAAUCUGGCUUAUGGAGGGGGAUAACUACGGGAAACUGUAGCUAAUACCGCGUAAAAUCUUCGGAUUAAAGGGUGGGACUUUCGGGCCACCUGCCAUAAGAUGAGCCCAAGUGGGAUUAGGUAGUUGGUUAGGUAAAGGCUGACCAAGCCGACGAUCUCUAGCUGGUCUGAGAGGAUGACCAGCCACACUGGAACUGAGACACGGUCCAG